RNAcentral lists this ribosomal RNA (447 nucleotides) under uncultured bacterium. RNAcentral describes it as "bacterial SSU rRNA". It matches the Rfam family "Bacterial small subunit ribosomal RNA", at positions 355 to 825 of the family's 1533-position model. The record is from RNAcentral.
UGGGGAAUAUUGGACAAUGGGCGCAAGCCUGAUCCAGCCAUGCCGCGUGAGUGACGAAGGCCUUAGGGUUGUAAAGCUCUUUUGGCGGGGAAGAUAAUGACGGUACCCGCAGAAUAAGCUCCGGCUAACUUCGUGCCAGCAGCCGCGGUAAUACGAAGGGAGCUAGCGUUGUUCGGAAUCACUGGGCGUAAAGCGCACGUAGGCGGAUGUGUCAGUCAGGGGUGAAAUCCCGGAGCUCAACUUCGGAACUGCCCUUGAUACAGCACGUCUUGAGUCCGAUAGAGGUGGGUGGAAUUCCUAGUGUAGAGGUGAAAUUCGUAGAUAUUAGGAAGAACACCGGUGGCGAAGGCGGCCCACUGGAUCGGUACUGACGCUGAGGUGCGAAAGCGUGGGGAGCAAACAGGAUUAGAUACCCCGGUAUUCCCUGAGCGGGCUGGCAAGGCGCAU